This 426-nucleotide ribosomal RNA is filed under the name uncultured bacterium. RNAcentral's name for it is "bacterial SSU rRNA". It matches the Rfam family "Bacterial small subunit ribosomal RNA", at positions 354 to 796 of the family's 1533-position model. The record is from RNAcentral.
GUCGGGAAUAUUGCACAAUGGACGAAAGUCUGAUGCAGCAACGCCGCGUGCGCGAUGAAGGCCUUCGGGUCGUAAAGCGCUUUUCGGGUGGAUGAGAAGGGACAGUACACCCGGAAUCAGGAACGGCUAACUACGUGCCAGCAGCCGCGGUAAAACGUAGGUUCCGAGCGUUAUCCGGAUUUACUGGGCGUAAAGCGCGUUCAGGCGGUUGGGCAAGUCGGGCAUGAAAUCUCUGGGCUCAACCUGGAGAGGUUGUCCGAUACUGCCGAACUGGAGGGCAGUAGAGGGUGGUGGAAUUCCGGGUGUAGUGGUGAAAUGCGUAGAGAUCCGGAGGAACACCAGUGGCGAAAGCGGCCACCUGGACUGCACCUGACGCUGAAACGCGAAAGCUAGGGGAGCGAACGGGAUUAGAUACCCUUGUAGUCC